This 5076-nucleotide long non-coding RNA is filed under the name Brassica napus (rape). RNAcentral describes it as "long non-coding RNA (BNAP_LNC001507)". Lineage: Eukaryota; Viridiplantae; Streptophyta; Magnoliopsida; Brassicales; Brassicaceae. The record is from RNAcentral.
AAGAAUACAAGCUGAAUAAUCUCAUGCAGUGCCUUCUAAUUUAAUAUACAGAGUGAAGUAAUCCAUCUUGAUAACAACAAAAGAAGAACAAACCCAACUGUGUUAUGAUCCAUCUUUCAUCUGAACGUAUGUAGACCGCAGAAGAACAGAGUGAGUUGAUUAGUUAAAGCAGAUCUGUAAAACAUAGAGGACACAUCAUACCUCCCCAACAAGAGCCAAUGCUAUCGAAAAAUAAUCCAUAGGCUAAAAAGAUUUAAUUUAACCAAGAACUAGGAAUCAUACGCAAACCAUCAUUCCCUUCCACAACGGGAAUUGUCUCUCUUCGCUGCUCCAAUAAAGUCAUCCUUAUUGUGUUUAAGAUAGAAACUAAAGUCAAGUAACAUAGAAACACUGAAUACAAGGGUAACAAGAAUCUGUCAGAAAGGUAACAAAUCAUCCUUUUAGCAAAGAGAAAUCAGAGAAACCUAAAACCGGGAAGAAGAUUGAUCAGGAGCCAUCCAGAUUGCCUUUCUCUCUUGGAGCCUUGAUGUUCUAUACCAAAACCAAAAACAUGUUUCGCUUAAGAAAGGGAAAAAAAAAAGGACCGGCUUGUGUAAUAAGGAAUUUAAAAAAUAGGAAAAAGACAGAAGCCCUGUAGAAAGCGCGUGAAGAACGAUCAACCCAAAACAGCCAUCAUGGAACAAAGCAAGCAUCUCUCACAGCCAUCAUUGCUUCUCUCUUAGAGCCUCCAUGUUCUAUAUCAUGGAACGAAAUAACAUGGUUUUGCUUUAAGACAGGACCGCCUUGUGUUAUAAGAUUAUUUUGAAAAAAAAAAAAGGAAAAAGAGAGAAGCCUUGCUAAACCGCCAAAAAAAGAAAACGCAGACGACAAGUAGAUCACAUGGAACAAAAAGGUCCACCGAUGAAAUCUAGAAACCAAACCUAUCCAAAUUAGGUGAAAACUCCAAAAAGCUCCAACGAUGAUCGCAACAUAAAAACGUAAGGAACAAAAGAAAUUAGAGAAACCCCUGAAGACUAACGCACGCGUGGCAAGAGAAUCACGAAACACGAAACUCCAUAAUGAAUACCACCAAGUACAAGUCAAACAGAACUGCCCUUGCACCAUCCAAAUUCCUAUACAGAAAUGAGAUCAGAGGAAAGAGAAGCCAUCAUCUCAAACAGAAGCAUGUAUAGAAGAACAAGAUCAGAAAGGGAAAAGAAGAACAAACGUUUACAAAGUUGUGGUCUAAAAAGUUGAGGGCUUACUUUAGUAAGGCAAAAGAUCCGUAAGAUAUUACACGCAUGCUACUGUAAAAGGCCGGUAGAAUAGUUGAAAACAAUUAGCAACUAGUGUGCAGUUUUGGGAAAACAAAUCGAGCCAGAAAGGAGUAGUAAUAAGAACAAACCCAUUCACAAAUAACCAUCUUCCAUCUAAAUGGGUGUAUACUCAGUAGAAUAUCUGGAACACGCAAUAAACACACAAAAGAGACAUCAUCUAUCUUCCCAACAAAAUCCAUUCAUUGGGUAGGGUGAAGUGGUUGAUGAGUUGAAAAUCUGGGAACACACAAUCUUAGAAACCACAAGAUAUGGUAACCACCUCUAGAAAAGUACAUUUAGAGAAUCAAGACACGAAGUUUCUGACCUUCAUAGUUCACGACACCUGAAUCCAUAAAACACUAGAAGCUCCACAUUCAUCCUUGACAAGACAACGCACAAAGCUUGAAACACGCCUGGAUGUACUGAUAGAGGAGACUAGACAAACAGGUAGAAACUAACAGACUAGACUACUUAAUAGACAAAUAGAAAAAAGAAGAGCAAACCCUUAUGUUAUGAUCAAGAUUUCAUCUGAAUGUCUGUAGGGUAAAUUGAUUUGUGAAACCAGAUCUGGAAACACAAAGAAGACAAAUAAAAACUUCCCACAAUAACCAACACUAAAUAAAAAUAACCAGUAGGAAAGAAGGGUGUAACCAAGAACUCCAAACCAUCAAUCCCUUCCACAAAUCGAUUUCUUUCUCGUUGAGUAACAUAGUAUGAUCCUUCAUAUAUACUGAGAAAGAGAGAGCAAUUCACGGAAAGAAAAUAAAUAUAGCACGAGAAAACAGAGAAACCUAAACCGAGGAAAGAAGAUUGAUCAUGAUCCUCAGAGACAUCCCAUUGCUCCUCCAUGUUCUCUACCAAAACGAAGGAAAACAUGUUUCGCUUAAGGUAGUAAAGACAAACCAGCUAGUGUAAAAAAGAAAUCAAAAAUAGUAAAAAGUAACAAGAGAGAAGCCCUGAUAAACUGCCAACGCGCUGGAACAAACCAAAACAGCCAUCACGGGCAAAGCAAGCAUCCUCCACAAGCUAAAACAACAAAACGAGAGUAGAUCACGUGUAACAAAAAAGGCCACGGAUGCAAUCUAGAAGAAACCAAACCUCGGAAAUAGAUGAGAGAAAGACCCCUGAAGACGUAGCGUAGAGAAACACCGAUCAAUCAGAACAUCUUCCACAAGAAAAGCUAACCGAUGGAAUCUCGAAACUGAACGCUUGAAUAAACAAACAAUCCGUGAAAAGUGAACAAACUGGCGUAGGAACGUUGAUCUGUCCAAGAGAUCGUUUUAAGACUGUCAAAGAUCACUGUCCAAAACAAAACGUUUCCAUAUAUAAAAAGGAGCAGCAAAAACUCAGAAGAACCUUAAUGUUGAUGUCGGGGAGAAAGUAGACCACCCCCAGAGACAAAAAUAGUCAUGUGUGAAAUAAGAAAAUAAGGAUAGAAAGAAAGAAUGCAUAACCAUUAAUUGUUAACCGAUCUAGCCAUCAAACAGCUGGGAGAUAACCAUCAAACAUCAUUCACGGAUCAACAGAGGCGUAACAACAACCAUGUGGAAGCCUGAAACAGCCCUGGAUGUACUGAUACAGGAGACUAUGCACGAACAGGUCGAAACAGAGUCAUCCAAAAUAAACUGAAUUCAAAGAGAAAGGAGAGGCUACCAUCUUGAGCAGAAGUGAUUUGCAUUCAGUCCAUAGAAUAGAUGCACAGACUGUAAAAUCAAAAAAGGGCAAAGAGAUAAGGACGAAGGAAACUUGAUCGCAUCUUUAUAGUAACCAAAAAGAGGGAAAAGUCAUAGAGAAGACUGUAUAGAUCAAGAGCCAUCCAACGAAGCAAGUAAAUCAAAACGGGAAAGAAGGUAGAUCAGAGCCACCGCCAUUGCUUUUCUCUCUUGGAGCCUCCAUGUUCUAAAUCAAAACGAGAAAACAUGCUUCGGUGAAGACAGGAGAAAAGACCGGCUUCAGUGACGAGGAAAUUAAAAGUAGGAAAAAAAGAAAAAGACAUAUGCCCUUCUACACGCGUGAAAGAGGAUCAACCCUAACAAUAUCAUCAUCGACCAAAGCAAGCAUCCUCCACAAUCUAAAACAACGAGAAGUAGAUUGAAUGAACAGAAAAGCCACCGAUGUAAAUUCAUAUAUAGAAGAUAAGUAACUGUGGUUAGGAGGAAGAAGGAACAAUUAGUAGUCCUGCUUUAUUCUUUUUGAAAUCGCAUCCAACUGUAACAUAGACGAGAGAGCUUUCCUCAAAACAUUUCAAAAUCUAUACAAGCUUAAAUAAUUGAUAGAACUGACAAUCUUUAAGACUACUUUAAUAGACAGAGUGGAGUAAUAAUCCAUCUUGGAAACAGCAAAAGAAGAACAAACCCAACUGUUACGAUCCGUCUUUCAUCUGGACGUGUGUAGACCGCAGAAGAACAGAGUGAGUUGAUUAGUUAAAGCAGAUCUGUAAAAAAUAGAAGACACAUCAUACCUCCCCCCACAAUAGCCAAUACUAUACAAAAAUAAUCCAUAGGCUAAAAAGAUUUAAUUUAACCAAGAACUAGGAAUCAUACGCAGAACAUCAUUCCCUUCCACAAAACGAAUUAUUUCUCGUAGACGCUCCAAAUAAAGUCAUCCUUAUUGUGUUUAAGAUAGAAACUAAAGUCAAGGUAACAUAGAAACACUGAAUACAAGGGUAACAAGAAUCUGCCAGAAAGGUAAACAAACCAUCCUUUUAGCAAAGAGGAAGCAGAGAAACCUAAAACCGGGAAGAAGAUUGAUCAGGAGCCAUCCAGAUUGCCUUUCUCUCUUCGAGCCUUAUUGUUCUAUACCAAAACGAAAACAUGUUUCGCUUAAGAAAGGGAAAAAAAAAGACCGGCUUGUGUAAUAAGGGAAUUUAAAAUUAGGAAAAAGGACAAAAGGCCUGUAGUAAACGCGUGAAGAACGAUCAACCAAGAACAGCCAUCAUCGAUCAAGAGCAAGCAUCUGUCACAAAUCUAAAGCAACAAAACGGAAAGUAGAUCACAUGGAACUUAGAAGCGGCAACGAUGAUCGAAUCACAUCUGUUACCAUCCGUCUUUCAUCUGAAUAUGUGUACACUGAUCUGGACAACACGGAGGACACAUCAUACCUCUCCACAAUAACCAAUACUCAACAAAACAUAUAAUCUGUAGGUGAAAAAACUCGAGAUCAUACGCAAAACAUUGUUCCCUUCCUCGGUCUAAGAUAGAAGAUCAUCCUCCUCGACACACACCUAUAACCAAGGAGAGAGUAAUUCUCAUGGGGGAGCAUGAGAAAACAGAGAAACCUAUUCAGAGCUGUCCCGAUUGCUUCUCUCUUAGAGCCUCCAUGUUCUAUAUCAACACGAAAUAACAUGGUUUUGCUUUCAGACAGGACAGCCUUGUGUUAUAAGAAGUUUUUUUUGAAAAAAAAAAAAGGAAAAAGAGAGAAGCCUUGCUAAACCGCCAAAAGAGAAAACCCUUGAAGAGCGAUCAAGCCUAAACAAGACGACAAGUAGAUCACAUGGAACUCGGAAGCGGCAACGAUGAUAACGUAAGGAACGAAAGAGAUUAGAGAAACCCCUGAAGACUUAGCGUAGAGAAAACGCGUGGAAGAGAAUCAAUCAAGAAUCAUCCGUGAGAAGUGAAAACCCUAACGAUGAUCGGUCCAAGAAAUCGCGUUGAAACAUCCUCCUGCGAGACGACGUAGAUAACACAAAACACGUAAGGCAGAAAACAAAAGACAAGAGACGCGUUCAGAAGAAUAUCACCCGCGAUUACGCGUCUGAGAGGAGAUGAGAAUUCUCAAAGAG